GUGCCAGCCGCCGCGGUAAUACGGAGGGGGUUAGCGUUGUUCGGAAUUACUGGGCGUAAAGCGCACGUAGGCGGAUCAGAAAGUUGGGGGUGAAAUCCCGGGGCUCAACCCCGGAACUGCCUCCAAAACUACUGGUCUAGAGUUCGAGAUAGGUGAGUGGAAUUCCGAGUGUAGAGGUGAAACUCAUAGAUAUUCGGAGGAACACCAGUGGCGAAGGCGGCUCACUGGCUCGAUACUGACGCUGAGGUGCGAAAGUGUGGGGAGCAAACAGGAUUAGAAACCCUAGUAGUCC
Molecule: ribosomal RNA, 292 nt
Filed under: uncultured bacterium
Lineage: Bacteria
Description: partial 16S ribosomal RNA
Rfam family: Bacterial small subunit ribosomal RNA
Source: RNAcentral